ACGAACGCUGGCGGCGUGCUUCACACAUGCCAGUCGAACGCUGAAGCUCAGCUUUUGUUGGGUGGAUGAGUGGCGAACGGGUGAGUAACACGUGAGUAACCUGCCCCCUUCUUUGGGAUAACGCCCGGAAACGGGUGCUAAUACUGGAUAUUCACUGGUCUUCGCAUGGGGGUUGGUGGAAAGGGUUUUUCUGGUGGGGGAUGGGCUCGCGGCCUAUCAGCUUGUUGGUGGGGUGAUGGCCUACCAAGGCUUUGACGGGUAGCCGGCCUGAGAGGGUGACCGGUCACAUUGGGACUGAGGUACGGCCCAGACUCCUACGGGAGGCAGCAGUGGGGAAUAUUGCACAAUGGGCGCAAGACUGAUGCAGCGACGCCGCGUGAGGGAUGGGGGCCUUCGGGUUGUGAACCUCUUUCGCUCAUGGUCAAGCCGCAACAAUGGUUGUGGUGAGGGUAGUGGGUAAAGAAGCGCCGGCUAACUACGUG
RNAcentral lists this ribosomal RNA (482 nucleotides) under uncultured bacterium. RNAcentral's name for it is "partial 16S ribosomal RNA". It matches the Rfam family "Bacterial small subunit ribosomal RNA", at positions 29 to 507 of the family's 1533-position model. The record is from RNAcentral.